CGCCAGCAGCCGCGGUAAUACGGAGGAUGCAAGCGUUAUCCGGAUUCAUUGGGUUUAAAGGGUGCGCAGGCGGAAUGAUAAGUCAGAGGUGAAAUCCAACAGCUUAACUGUUGAACUGCCUUUGAUACUGUCGUUCUUGAGUAUAGUUGGAGUGGGCGGAAUGUGUCAUGUAGCGGUGAAAUGCUUAGAUAUGACACAGAACACCGAUCGCGAAGGCAGCUCGCUAAGCUAUAACUGACGCUCAUGCACGAAAGCGUGGGGAUCAAACAGGAUUAGAUACCCUGGUAGUCCACGCCGUAAACGAUGAUUACUCGAUGUUGGCGAUAUACAGUCAGCGUCUAAGCGAAAGCAUUAAGUAAUCCACCUGGGGAGUACGGCCGCAAGGUUGAAACUCAAAGGAAUUGACGGGGGCCCGCACAAGC
Molecule: ribosomal RNA, 422 nt
Filed under: uncultured bacterium
Lineage: Bacteria
Description: bacterial SSU rRNA
Rfam family: Bacterial small subunit ribosomal RNA
Source: RNAcentral